Molecule: ribosomal RNA, 478 nt
Filed under: uncultured bacterium
Lineage: Bacteria
Description: partial 16S ribosomal RNA
Rfam family: Bacterial small subunit ribosomal RNA
Source: RNAcentral
GACGAACGCUGGCGGCGUGCUUAACACAUGCAAGUCGAACGGGAUUUAGUAGACAGAAGCCUCGGCUAAAGAUUACUAGUGAGAGUGGCGAACGGGUGAGUAACACGUGAGCAACCUGCCUAUGACAGGGGGAUAGCCUCGGGAAACCGGGAUUAAUACCGCAUAAAAUCGUAGAAACACAUGUUUCAACGGUCAAAGAUUUAUCGGUCAUAGAUGGGCUCGCGUCUGAUUAGCUAGUUGGUGAGAUAACAGCCCACCAAGGCGACGAUCAGUAGACGGUCUGAGAGGAUGAACGGACACAUUGGAACUGAGACACGGUCCAAAAUCCUACGGGAGGCAGCAGUGGGGAAUAUUGCAAAAUGGGGGAAAUCAUGAUGGAGCGACGCCGCGUGAACGAAGAAGGUAUGAGUAUCGUAAAGUUCUGUCAUAUGGGAAGAUAAUGACAGUACCAUAGAAGAAAGCUCCGGCUAAAUACGUG